This 491-nucleotide ribosomal RNA is filed under the name uncultured bacterium. Its description in RNAcentral is "partial 16S ribosomal RNA". It matches the Rfam family "Bacterial small subunit ribosomal RNA", at positions 29 to 507 of the family's 1533-position model. The record is from RNAcentral.
GUGAACGCUGGCGGUAGGCCUAACACAUGCAAGUCGAACGGCAGCACAGUAAGAGCUUGCUCUUACGGGUGGCGAGUGGCGGACGGGUGAGGAAUACAUCGGAAUCUACUUUUUCGUGGGGGAUAACGUAGGGAAACUUACGCUAAUACCGCAUACGACCUACGGGUGAAAGCAGGGGAUCUUCGGACCUUGCGCGAUUGAAUGAGCCGAUGUCGGAUUAGCUAGUUGGCGGGGUAAAGGCCCACCAAGGCGACGAUCCGUAGCUGGUCUGAGAAGAUGAUCAGCCACACUGGAACUGAGACACGGUCCAGACUCCUACGGGAGGCAGCAGUGGGGAAUAUUGGACAAUGGGCGCAAGCCUGAUCCAGCCAUACCGCGUGGGUGAAGAAGGCCUUCGGGUUGUAAAGUCCUUUUGUUGGGAAAGAAAAGCAGCAGGUUAAUACCCCGCUGUUCCGACGGUACCCAAAGAAUAAGCACCGGCUAACUUCGUG